CGGUCGCGUAACACGUAAGCAACCUGCCCUGAAGUGGGGGACAACAUCCCGAAAGGGGUGCUAAUACCGCAUGUGGUCACGAGUCGGCAUCGACUUGUGUCUAAAGAUUUAUCGCUUCAGGAUGGGCUUGCGGCCUAUCAGGUAGUUGGUGGGGUAAUGGCCUACCAAGCCGACGACGGGUAGCUGGUCUGAGAGGACGAUCAGCCGGAUUGGGACUGAGAUACGGCCCAGACUCCUACGGGGGGCAGCAAUUAGGAAUCUUGCGCAAUGGGGGAAACCCUGACGCAGCGACGUCGCGUGAAGGAUGAAGGCCCUCGGGUCGUAAACUUCUUUUGAGUGGGAAGAAAUUUGACGGUACCACUCGAAUAAGCCCCGGCUAACUACGUGCCAGCAGCCGCGGUAAUACGUAGGGGGCGAGCGUUGUCCGAAGUUACUGGGCGUAAAGCGCGCGUAGGCGGUUAUUUAAGUCUGGGGUGAAAGGUUCAGCGCUCAACGUGAACAGUGCCUUGGAUACU
This 515-nucleotide ribosomal RNA is filed under the name uncultured bacterium. Its description in RNAcentral is "bacterial SSU rRNA". It matches the Rfam family "Bacterial small subunit ribosomal RNA", at positions 103 to 634 of the family's 1533-position model. The record is from RNAcentral.